RNAcentral lists this ribosomal RNA (253 nucleotides) under uncultured bacterium. Its description in RNAcentral is "partial 16S ribosomal RNA". It matches the Rfam family "Bacterial small subunit ribosomal RNA", at positions 524 to 776 of the family's 1533-position model. The record is from RNAcentral.
UACGUAGGGUGCAAGCGUUGUCCGGAAUUAUUGGGCGUAAAGAGCUCGUAGGCGGUUUGUCGCGUCUGCUGUGAAAACCCGGGGCUCAACUCCGGGCCUGCAGCCGAUACGGGCAGACUAGAGUUCGGCAGGGGAGACUGGAAUUCCUGGUGUAGCGGUGAAAUGCGCAGAUAUCAGGAGGAACACCGGUGGCGAAGGCGGGUCUCUGGGCCGUAACUGACGCUGAGGAGCGAAAGCGUGGGGAGCGAACAGG